UUCCAGCUUCGAAGUGACAUGUGCUGUCAGCAACACCACAAAACACUUCAUUGAUGUUUUUAAGGGGGGUACGGAAGAGGAAAUAAAAUUGCUUAUUUGCCCAAAGCAAUGUUCAGCGAAGUGAAAUCCAUUGACUCCCCGUGGGACUCUCUGCUUCUCCCAAGUGAAUGGAUUUUCAAAUUUGGAACACAGGUGGCCUUCAGGUUGGAUGGACACAGCCCGCCUCUCUGAUUAAUUCGGUGGAUGACGUGCUCCAAGGAGGGCUAGGAGUCGGAGAUUCCCCCCUCCCCACCACCUACUUCCUGUCUGGGGAAAACCACAGGGAGAGGGGAGUGAAGGGGAAGCAGCUCCUAACAGCGCUGGGGGCCUUGCCUGGAAGGGUGUGCAUCUCUUCGGCUCUGAGCACGUACCCAGCAUUGUAUCUGGUGUCCCAAUAA
Molecule: long non-coding RNA, 437 nt
Filed under: Capra hircus (goat)
Lineage: Eukaryota; Metazoa; Chordata; Mammalia; Artiodactyla; Bovidae
Description: lncRNA (ENSCHIG00000001545.1)
Source: RNAcentral